RNAcentral lists this long non-coding RNA (217 nucleotides) under Medicago truncatula (barrel medic). Its description in RNAcentral is "long non-coding RNA (MTRU_LNC008016)". Lineage: Eukaryota; Viridiplantae; Streptophyta; Magnoliopsida; Fabales; Fabaceae. The record is from RNAcentral.
GCAGCAAUAUUUAUAGAUAGCUUCAAUCUUGAGCAGAGAUGGUUGGUUACCUCUAUUAUGAGCACUAGUUGUUAGAUGGAGACGAGACAAGUGGGACCCUGUAACAUGUUCAUGAAGACAAUUGACUUUGAAAUUUGGCAUGAAAGAAAACGAUAUCAAAUCAAGGCAAUUCUACAAUAUAAGUACCUGUUUGGUUGCACGUUGCAACCUCCAAAAC